AGUUAAUUGAUCUUUCUCCUGUUAAUCUGUCUCAUGGCAAUUUAAUUAUUAGACAGCCAAAGAACCUAGAAGGGGGCAGGGAAUGUAUUUCCAGCCCUACAGUUAUAACUGGGCCUUGGGCAACAGGGUCUCAGAAAUACUGAGCGUGAAUCGUCAUUGUUAAUAUUGUUCUGGAUUCGGGGCCAGGUCCCUGCCGCUCCAGCCCCAAGGCCACCGCGGGUCUGGAUGGAUGCUGACUGACCAUCGCCUUGGCCACCCCCAGGAAUGUUCCUCUGGUUUCGCUCUGAGGGGCCCGGAGGCCUCCUGGUGACUCUGCACCAUCUCCAGAGGUCAACCAUUGGUCACGGGGCCCCUUGGCACAAAAGGGGCAGCAGAGCACCUGUCUCUCCUUGACCGUGAUUACUGAUGACUGCCACCCACACCCACACGCCCUGGAGCUGGGCGGGGCAGCCGCACCACCCCGGGUCUGGGGUGGGGCUGGAAACGGCCGUGCGCACUGGGGCCUGCUCCGAGGGUGAAAUGCCCACACAGGAUUCCAAAGACAGUACACACAGAAGAAUGUGAAACAUCCAUUAACGAUUGCCUGCAUGUGUUGAAAUAAUACGUUGGAUAUAUUGGGUUAAAUAAAAAGUAUUGUUUUCA
Long non-coding RNA from Camelus dromedarius (Arabian camel), 642 nucleotides. RefSeq lists it as uncharacterized. Lineage: Eukaryota; Metazoa; Chordata; Mammalia; Artiodactyla; Camelidae. The record is from RefSeq and is a predicted model, not a curated record. The transcript is spliced from 2 exons.